GAGGGCUCCCCCUACUGCCAAAGUGAAGGGUAUUCUGACUUCCGUCACCACUGGUCACUUCUGCCUGUUCUUGAACUUCAGGGGCCUGGGCACAGUGACCAGUUGAGAAGUUUGGAAAAGAAAAUGGAAAAGGAAGACAAACCAAGGCAAAAGCAACUUCACUGGGGGAGGGUGAAGGAAAAACCAGGAGAAAACAAGCCCUGCACAGCCGGAGCGCAGCAUCUCGGACACCUGAGGGGCCAGAUGGAGCUCGGGAGAAGCUCCCAACAACAGGCAGACCUCGGGGGACAGGCAGGAAAGGUGCUAACGGAAGCCAUCCAGCACGCAAGCAGGCACAGCUCCAGACAGCUAGUACUUGGACAAGCCCCUUUUAUAGAUGAGGCGACCGCAG
This is a long non-coding RNA of Suricata suricatta (meerkat), 391 nucleotides long. RefSeq lists it as uncharacterized. The record is from RefSeq and is a predicted model, not a curated record. Lineage: Eukaryota; Metazoa; Chordata; Mammalia; Carnivora; Herpestidae. The transcript has 3 exons.